RNAcentral lists this ribosomal RNA (458 nucleotides) under uncultured bacterium. RNAcentral describes it as "bacterial SSU rRNA". It matches the Rfam family "Bacterial small subunit ribosomal RNA", at positions 340 to 786 of the family's 1533-position model. The record is from RNAcentral.
UACGGAAGGCAGCAGUGGGGAAUAUUGCACAAUGGGCGAAAGCCUGAUGCAGCUAUGCCGCGUGUAUGAAGAAGGCCUUAGGGUUGUAAAGUACUUUUCAUCGGGGAGGAAAAACAAAACUAAUAAUUUUAUUUCUUGACGUUACCCGAAAAAGAAGCACCGGCUAACUCCGUGCCAGCAGCCGCGGUAAUACGGAGGGUGCUAGCGUUAAUCAGAAUUACUGGGCGUAAAGAGCACGUAGGUGGUUUUUUUAAAGUCAGAUGUGAAAUCCCUGGGCUUAACCUAGGAACUGCAUUUUGAAACUGAAAUACUAGAGUAUCGUAGAGGGAGGUAGAAUUCUAGGUGUAGCGGUGAAAUGCGUAGAUAUCUGGAGGAAUACCUGUGGCGAAAGCGGCCUCCUAAACGAAUACUGACACUGAGGUGCGAAAGCGUGGGGAGCAAAACAGGGAUUAGAUACC